This 589-nucleotide ribosomal RNA is filed under the name uncultured Verrucomicrobiota bacterium. Its description in RNAcentral is "bacterial SSU rRNA". It matches the Rfam family "Bacterial small subunit ribosomal RNA", at positions 790 to 1368 of the family's 1533-position model. The record is from RNAcentral. Lineage: Bacteria; Pseudomonadati; Verrucomicrobiota.
GUAGUCCUAGCCGUAAUCGGUGCGUAUGUGCUGUAAAAGGAAUCGAAGGAAUCGGUGGCGUAGCAAACGUAGCAAAUACGCCGCAUGGGAAGUACGGUAACAAGAUUAACAAUCAAAGAAAUUGACGGAGGCGUGCACAAGCGGUGGAGUAGGUGGAGCAUUUGGAUGCAUUGGGAAGAACCUGAAGUGCCCUUGACAGGCAAGUGGUAGAACCAUGAAAGUGGGACGACCCCGCAAGGGGCAAGAGCACAGGUGCUGCAUGGCUGUCGUCAGCUCGUGUCGUGAGAUGUUGGGUUAAGUCCCGCAGUGAGCGCAACCCCUGUGUCCUGUUGCCACCCGGCCGAGAGGCUGGAGCACUCUGGACAGAGUGCCUCGCUUCAACGAGGAGGAAGGUGGGGAUGACGUCAAGUCAGUAUGGCCCUUACGGCCAGGGGUGCCCCCGUAGUUCCAUGCCCGGCACAGAGGGAAGCAAGAUCGUAAGAUGGAGCACAUUCCCGAAAACCGGGCCCAGUUCAGGAUGUGGUUUGCAACUUGGCGGCCAGAAGCCGGAAUCGCUAGUAAAGGCGCAUCAGGCACGGCGCCGUGAGUA